Centropristis striata (black sea bass) is the source of this 515-nucleotide long non-coding RNA. RefSeq lists it as uncharacterized. Lineage: Eukaryota; Metazoa; Chordata; Actinopteri; Perciformes; Serranidae. The record is from RefSeq and is a predicted model, not a curated record. The transcript is spliced from 3 exons.
UUUUUCUAGGACUGUGCAUAAAAGCAUUUCUUCAUGGUGUGACCUUUCAAGUACAAUUAUGAUAAUUUAUUAAUAAUUAGGUGGGCUUGUAGAAAGCAUUCACCAAACCAUACUUGCAAUUGAGACAGGUCUUUAUUUGUUGAAACCUGUAUUCACAGACAAGGCUUCUAGUUAAGGUUUUAUGAUAUCUUAAAUUUGAACUUAAAUUCUACAACUAAUAUUCAACAGGUACUUGGGAGAGCAAAUGCACAAAUAAAACAACUGAGGAAGGGGUUAAAGGAGACGGGCAUCUGGCCACUAAUUACUGGGCGACCAGACGUGGUUCCCCAUCUGUUCCCCAGGCAGUCAGACGUGGAACUCACCCCCCAAAUGGUCAUUGAAGCCAUAAAGUGGCCCCUUGCCAAAAAGAAUGAUAGUGAUGACAGCGAAGAUGACAUUGCACCAGCUACAGUCAGCGCCAUUGCAAGGUUUUUUCAAACCUUUGUUGAGCAAGAGCAUCCCCAGACCUUCUGCGG